CGUCGCAUUAGCUAGUUGGUGAGGUAACGGCUCACCAAGGCAACGAUGCGUAGCCGACCUGAGAGGGUGAUCGGCCACACUGGGACUGAGACACGGCCCAGACUCCUACGGGAGGCAGCAGUAGGGAAUCUUCCGCAAUGGACGAAAGUCUGACGGAGCAACGCCGCGUGAGUGAUGAAGGCUUUCGGGUCGUAAAACUCUGUUGUUAGGGAAGAACAAGUGCUAGUUGAAUAAGCUGGCACCUUGACGGUACCUAACCAGAAAGCCACGGCUAACUACGUGCCAGCAGCCGCGGUAAUACGUAGGUGGCAAGCGUUAUCCGGAAUUAUUGGGCGUAAAGCGCGCGCAGGUGGUUUCUUAAGUCUGAUGUGAAAGCCCACGGCUCAACCGUGGAGGGUCAUUGGAAACUGGGAGACUUGAGUGCAGAAGAGGAAAGUGGAAUUCCAUGUGUAGCGGUGAAAUGCGUAGAGAUAUGGAGGAACACCAGUGGCGAAGGCGACUUUCUGGUCUGUAACUGACACUGAGGCGCG
Molecule: ribosomal RNA, 530 nt
Filed under: Salmonella enterica subsp. enterica serovar Typhimurium
Lineage: Bacteria; Pseudomonadati; Pseudomonadota; Gammaproteobacteria; Enterobacterales; Enterobacteriaceae
Description: bacterial SSU rRNA
Rfam family: Bacterial small subunit ribosomal RNA
Source: RNAcentral